CAUCUUGGUUGUUUUCUGUCUAGGC
This 25-nucleotide non-coding RNA is filed under the name Cricetulus griseus (Chinese hamster). Lineage: Eukaryota; Metazoa; Chordata; Mammalia; Rodentia; Cricetidae. The record is from RNAcentral.